RNAcentral lists this ribosomal RNA (435 nucleotides) under uncultured bacterium. Its description in RNAcentral is "partial 16S ribosomal RNA". It matches the Rfam family "Bacterial small subunit ribosomal RNA", at positions 29 to 507 of the family's 1533-position model. The record is from RNAcentral.
AGCGAACGCUGGCGGCAGGCUUAACACAUGCAAGUCGAACGGGCAUAGCAAUAUGUCAGUGGCAGACGGGUGAGUAACGCGUGGGAACUUACCUUUUGGUUCGGAACAACACAGGGAAACUUGUGCUAAUACCGGAUAAGCCCUUACGGGGAAAGAUUUAUCGCCGAAAGAUCGGCUCGCGUCUGAUUAGAUAGUUGGUAGGGUAAUGGCCUACCAAGGCGACGAUCAGUAGCUGGUCUGAGAGGAUGAUCAGCCACAUUGGGACUGAGACACGGCACAAAAUCCUACGGGAGGCAGGAGUGGGGAAUAUUGGGAAAUGGGCGAAAGCCUGAUCCAGCCAGGACGGGUGAGUGAUGAAGGCACUAGGGUUGUAAAGCUCUUUUGUGCGGGAAGAUAAUGACGGUACCGAAAGAAUAAGCCCCGGCUAACUUCGUG